GACGAACGCUAGCGGCGUGCUUAACACAUGCAAGUCGUACGGUAAGGCCCUUUCGGGGGUACACGAGUGGCGAACGGGUGAGUAACACGUGAGUAACCUGCCCACAACUUUGGGAUAACGCUAGGAAACUGGUGCUAAUACUGGAUAUGUGCUCCUGCUGCAUGGUGGGGGUUGGAAAGCUCCGGCGGUUGUGGAUGGACUCGCGGCCUAUCAGCUUGUUGGUGGGGUAGUGGCCUACCAAGGCGGCGACGGGUAGCCGGCCUGAGAGGGUGACCGGCCACAUUGGGACUGAGAUACGGCCCAGACUCCUACGGGAGGCAGCAGUGGGGAAUAUUGCACAAUGGGCGCAAGCCUGAUGCAGCAACGCCGCGUGCGGGAUGACGGCCUUCGGGUUGGAAACCGCUUUCAGCAGGGACGAAGCUUUUUGUGACGGUACCUGCAGAAGAAGCACCGGCUAACUACGUG
This 465-nucleotide ribosomal RNA is filed under the name uncultured bacterium. RNAcentral's name for it is "partial 16S ribosomal RNA". It matches the Rfam family "Bacterial small subunit ribosomal RNA", at positions 28 to 507 of the family's 1533-position model. The record is from RNAcentral.